AGCCUAAAGAAAAAAUAUUUUAGGUGAGCUUUGCCCAGUGAAUUUUUAACGGCCGCGGUAUCCUGACCGUGCAAAGGUAGCACAAUCACUUGCCCUNUAAUUAGGGGCUGGAAUGAACGAGUAAACGAGAAUUUCCCUGUCUCUCUAUUAAGUAUAAAAACUAGCCUACAGGUGAAGAGACCUGUAUAUAUNUAAAAGACAAAAAGACCCCGUCGAGCUUUAAUAUAAAUAAGUAUAGAAAUAAAAUUCUUCCCGCAUAUUUUUGUUGGGGCGACAAAGGAAUAAAAAAANNUUCCUAAAAUAAAAGAAAACUAUUCUAGCAAAAGAUCCUAAAAAAGAACACAGAAANNNNUAGCGCAGGGAUAACAGACUUAUUUUUCCAAAG
This 385-nucleotide ribosomal RNA is filed under the name Nothria conchylega. Its description in RNAcentral is "partial 16S ribosomal RNA". It matches the Rfam family "Bacterial large subunit ribosomal RNA", at positions 1829 to 2496 of the family's 2925-position model. The record is from RNAcentral. Lineage: Eukaryota; Metazoa; Annelida; Polychaeta; Eunicida; Onuphidae.